Onychostoma macrolepis is the source of this 1347-nucleotide long non-coding RNA. RefSeq lists it as uncharacterized. The transcript has 3 exons. NCBI's taxonomy places the organism in Eukaryota, Metazoa, Chordata, Actinopteri, Cypriniformes, Cyprinidae. The record is from RefSeq and is a predicted model, not a curated record.
CUUGCGUACAUUGCUAAUACUCUAUUACACACAUUACCAUUGUUUCACUGUUACUUGCUUAAAUGGCGGAUUUGUGUCUACAUCUGAGUGCAGUUGAGGACACGUUCGAGCUACAUUCGGUGGAGCUGGAGGCUGUGGAGAAGCUCGUGUUCUCGAUGUUUCUGCGCAGAUACCUGUGAUCCUGAAGGGCGACGAGAGCAUCGGCGCUGUCGUGCUGCACACGGGGGUUAACGACACCAAGCUGCGGCAGACGGAGACACUGAAGAGGGACUUCAGGAGCCUGAUCAAGACGGUACGCAGUACAUCGCCCGCAACGACGAUCAUCGUGUCAGGACCGCUUCCCACGUAUCGACGAGGACACGAAAGGUUCUGUAGACUUUUUGAUUUAAACGAAUGGUUAUUGUCAUGGUGUAAAGAACAGAAACUGCUCUUUGUUAAUAAUUGGAAUCUUUUCUGGGAGCGUUCUAGGCUUUUCCGUGCUGAUGGCCUGCACCCCAGCAGAGUCGGAGCAGAACUCCUGUCGGACAACAUCUCCAGGACGCUACGCUCCAUAUGACUAGAAUUACUGAAGUGUCAGUAAUCCAACCCUUAAAAAGAUCCGAGAUGACCAAACACCUGAGAAGAGAUGAUGGCAACACCUCAGAGGACCACGGAGGAUGCCAACCCUCAGACAACACAUAAUUACCAAGUGGGCGUGGUCUCUGUUAACCAGCUGGAGAUGGUGAUUGGUCCCACUAUGCACCUUCCCCAGAGAUAAGGACCACCUCAAACACGCGUCUAGAGCCUUCGAGCCUCGCUGACUUCGUACCGUUGUGCCAGAGAGAGAUAUUUUGAGUAGACCUAUAGUAAAUCUGUUGAAUUCUGAUUACCUAUUGUUCUGUGGAUUGUUGUGCCAGAGAGAGAUAUUUUGAGUAGACUUAUAGUAAAUCUGUUGAGUGUUAGUUAUUCUGAGAUCAAAUAUUACAUUUCCCGUUUAUCUGAACAUUGCCUGUUUGACUAUGACUUGGAUUCUGAUUCUGCUUUGUGUACGCCCUGGAACUUUGUACUUUAUUACACGUUUGCCGAAUUAAGGGAUGUAGGGGGCUAGACGCCGUUUUAUUUUGUGUAUAGCCUAUUUUUCACUUUGUUUAUGGUUGAGGGAGGUAGGGAACUUGGUUUGUAGUUUGUUUUCUUUAUUUUUCUUUGAGGUUAUUUAGUUAUCAAGAAUAAGUUCGUUUUGUUUAUUGUUUUGGCUUUGUCUGCCCCUGAAGAUAUUCCCUUAUAAAAAAAAAUAAUAAAACUCGUUUUCUCGGCAGCUCUCUGGUGUUUUUCUAUUUCUGUUACGUCUGUUAAGUCUAACCCCUAGAG